Molecule: small nuclear RNA, 104 nt
Organism: Aplysia californica (California sea hare)
Lineage: Eukaryota; Metazoa; Mollusca; Gastropoda; Aplysiida; Aplysiidae
Source: RefSeq, a predicted model, not a curated record
CUUCACUGUACAUGCAGCACUUCAAAAAAUUAAACAAUACCAGGAAGAUUAACAUGGCUUUGAGCAAAGAUGAAAUGCAAAUUCACGAUGCUUUCCAUAUUUUU